GUGCUAAUCUGCGAUAAGCGUCGGUAAGGUGAUAUGAACCGUUAUAACCGGCGAUUUCCGAAUGGGGAAACCCAGUGUGUUUCGACACACUAUCAUUAACUGAAUCCAUAGGUUAAUGAGGCGAACCGGGGGAACUGAAACAUCUAAGUACCCCGAGGAAAAGAAAUCAACCGAGAUUCCCCCAGUAGCGGCGAGCGAACGGGGAGCAGCCCAGAGUCUGAAUCAGUGUGUGUGUUAGUGGAAGCGUCUGGAAAGGCGCGCGAUACAGGGUGACAGCCCCGUACACAAAAAUGCACAUAUUGUGAGCUCGAUGAGUAGGGCGGGACACGUGGUAUCCUGUCUGAAUAUGGGGGGACCAUCCUCCAAGGCUAAAUACUCCUGACUGACCGAUAGUGAACCAGUACCGUGAGGGAAAGGCGAAAAGAACCCCGGCGAGGGGAGUGAAAAAGAACCUGAAACCGUGUACGUACAAGCAGUGGGAGCACGCUUAGGCGUGUGACUGCGUACCUUUUGUAUAAUGGGUCAGCGACUUAUAUUCUGUAGCAAGGUUAACCGAAUAGGGGAGCCGAAGGGAAACCGAGUCUUAACUGGGCGUUAAGUUGCAGGGUAUAGACCCGAAACCCGGUGAUCUAGCCAUGGGCAGGUUGAAGGUUGGGUAACACUAACUGGAGGACCGAACCGACUAAUGUUGAAAAAUUAGCGGAUGACUUGUGGCUGGGGGUGAAAGGCCAAUCA
RNAcentral lists this ribosomal RNA (735 nucleotides) under Escherichia coli. RNAcentral's name for it is "bacterial LSU rRNA". It matches the Rfam family "Bacterial large subunit ribosomal RNA", at positions 58 to 835 of the family's 2925-position model. Lineage: Bacteria; Pseudomonadati; Pseudomonadota; Gammaproteobacteria; Enterobacterales; Enterobacteriaceae. The record is from RNAcentral.